Molecule: ribosomal RNA, 433 nt
Filed under: uncultured bacterium
Lineage: Bacteria
Description: partial 16S ribosomal RNA
Rfam family: Bacterial small subunit ribosomal RNA
Source: RNAcentral
AACGAACGCUGGCGGCAUGCCUAACACAUGCAAGUCGAACGAGACCUUCGGGUCUAGUGGCGCACGGGUGCGUAACGCGUGGGAACCUGCCCUUAGGUUCGGAAUAACUCCCCGAAAGGGGUGCUAAUACCGGAUAAUGUCUUCGGACCAAAGAUUUGUCGCCUUUGGAUGGGCCCGCGUUGGAUUAGCUAGUUGGUAGGGUAAAAGCCUACCAAGGCGACGAUCCAUAGCUGGUCUGAGAGGAUGAUCAGCCACACUGGGACUGAGACACGGCCCAGACUCCUACGGGAGGCAGCAGUGGGGAAUAUUGGACAAUGGGCGAAAGCCUGAUCCGGCAAUGCCGCGUGAGUGAUGAAGGCCUUAGGGUUGUAAAGCUCUUUUACCCGGGAUGAUAAUGACAGUACCGGGAGAAUAAGCUCCGGCUAACUCCGUG